Molecule: ribosomal RNA, 255 nt
Filed under: uncultured bacterium
Lineage: Bacteria
Description: partial 16S ribosomal RNA
Rfam family: Bacterial small subunit ribosomal RNA
Source: RNAcentral
UACGUAGGUGGCAAGCGUUGUUCGGAUUUACUGGGCGUAAAGGGCGCGUAGGCGGUCGUGACAAGUCACUUGUGAAAUCUCCGGGCUUAACUCGGAACGGUCAAGUGAUACUGUCGGACUAGAGUACAGAAGGGGCAACUGGAAUUCUCGGUGUAGCGGUGAAAUGCGUAGAUAUCGAGAGGAACACCUGCGGCGAAGGCGGGUUGCUGGGCUGAUACUGACGCUGAGGCGCGGAAAGCCAGGGGAGCGAACGGG